RNAcentral lists this ribosomal RNA (479 nucleotides) under Microstenus falsosus. RNAcentral describes it as "partial 16S large subunit ribosomal RNA". The stretch from base 353 to 479 matches the Rfam family "Archaeal large subunit ribosomal RNA", at positions 2544 to 2670 of the family's 2987-position model. Lineage: Eukaryota; Metazoa; Arthropoda; Insecta; Hymenoptera; Ichneumonidae. The record is from RNAcentral.
GCUCCAUGAUUUAUUAAAUAGCUGCAGUAUUUUGACUGUACAAAGGUAGCAUAAUCAAUAGUUUUUUAAUUGAAAGCUGGAAUGAAGGAUUUGAUAAAGUAAAUAUUGUCUCAAAUUUAGUAAUAUUAAAAUUUUUUUUUUAGUAAAAAUACUAAAGUGUUUUUAAAAGACGAGAAGACCCUAUAGAAUUUUAUAUUAAUUUUUAUUUUAAUUUAAAUUAAAAUAUUUAAAUAAAUUAAUUAUUAUUUGAUUGGGGUAAUUAUUAAAUUAAUAAAAUUUUAAUGUAUAAUAAACAAUAAUUAUUGAUUAUUUGAUCUUUAAUUUUAAGAUUAAAAGAAUAAAUUACCUUAGGGAUAACAGCGUAAUUUUUUUUGAGAGAUCUUAUUGAAAAAAAAGUUUGCGACCUCGAUGUUGAAUUAAGAUGAAAUUUUAAUGUAGGAGUUAAAAGAUUUURGUCUGUUCGACUAUUAAAAUCUUAC